AUUGAACGCUGGCGGCAGGCCUAACACAUGCAAGUCGAACGGUAACAGGAAGAAGCUUGCUUCUUUGCUGACGAGUGGCGGACGGGUGAGCAAUGUCUGGGAAACUGCCUGAUGGAGGGGGAUAACUACUGGAAACGGUAGCUAAUACCGCAUAAUGUCGCAAGACCAAAGAGGGGGACCUUCGGGCCUCUUGCCAUCGGAUGUGCCCAGAUGGGAUUAGCUAGUAGGUGGGGUAACGGCUCACCUAGGCGACGAUCCCUAGCUGGUCUGAGAGGAUGACCAGCCACACUGGAACUGAGACACGGUCCAGACUCCUACGGGAGGCAGCAGUGGGGAAUAUUGCACAAUGGGCGCAAGCCUGAUGCAGCUAUGCCGCGUGUAUGAAGAAGGCCUUCGGGUUGUAAAGUACUUUCAGCGGGGAGGAAGGGAGUAAAGUUAAUACCUUUGCUCAUUGACGUUACCCGCAGAAGAAGCACCGGCUAACUCCGUG
Molecule: ribosomal RNA, 490 nt
Filed under: uncultured bacterium
Lineage: Bacteria
Description: partial 16S ribosomal RNA
Rfam family: Bacterial small subunit ribosomal RNA
Source: RNAcentral